Molecule: long non-coding RNA, 268 nt
Organism: Nerophis lumbriciformis (worm pipefish)
Lineage: Eukaryota; Metazoa; Chordata; Actinopteri; Syngnathiformes; Syngnathidae
Source: RefSeq, a predicted model, not a curated record
CUACAUUGUUCCCUGGAAAAGCAGCCACAAGAUCCUGGUGGAGCGUUAUUCAAUGGGCUGUGAUUGCAAGAUCACUCGCUGUGACUCUGUCCCGUGUGGGAUCAGCGGCCCGACUGAGUGCUUGUGGACGGAAAAGCUGUUUGGUGAUUCAGGGCAGGACAAACAAUGUGCUUGCAUCAAGAGAAGGGAUGGUUCUUGUGUCUGGUACAAGGAGGCCGCCUCACCCACAAAGGGUUAAUGGAUUAAAGACUCCAAAAUCCCCACCUUG